Molecule: ribosomal RNA, 117 nt
Filed under: Danio rerio (zebrafish)
Lineage: Eukaryota; Metazoa; Chordata; Actinopteri; Cypriniformes; Danionidae
Source: RNAcentral
AACCACAGCCAUAUCAUCCUGCAGCCCAAGAGCUGUUACUCACUGAAGCUAAGCAGGGCUGAGCCAGGUUAGCACCUGGUUGGGAGACCAUAUUGGAAAACUUGGUUGCUGUUAAAA